AACGAACGCUGGCGGCGCGCCUAAUACAUGCAAGUCGAGCGAGAAGACGUAGCAAUACGUUUGUAAAGCGGCGAACGGGUGAGGAAUACAUGGGUAACCUACCCUCGAGUGGGGAAUAACUAGCCGAAAGGUUAGCUAAUACCGCGUACGCUCCUUGGACUUCGGUUCAGGGAGGAAAGCGAUACCGUGGGUAUCGCGCUCUUGGAUGGGCUCAUGUCCUAUCAGCUUGUUGGUGAGGAACGGCUCACCAAGGCUUCGACGGGUAGCUGGUCUGAGAGGACGAUCAGCCACACUGGCACUGCGACACGGGCCAGACUCCUACGGGAGGCAGCAGUAAGGAAUAUUGCGCAAUGGGCGAAAGCCUGACGCAGCGACGCCGCGUGGGGGAUGAAGGUCUUCGGAUUGUAAACCCCUUUCGGGUAGGGAGAUGGAACGAGCAAUCGUUCGGACGGUACCUCCAGAAGCAGCCACGGCUAACUUCGUGCCAGCAGCCGCCGUAAC
Molecule: ribosomal RNA, 501 nt
Filed under: uncultured bacterium
Lineage: Bacteria
Description: bacterial SSU rRNA
Rfam family: Bacterial small subunit ribosomal RNA
Source: RNAcentral